This 449-nucleotide ribosomal RNA is filed under the name uncultured prokaryote. Its description in RNAcentral is "bacterial SSU rRNA". It matches the Rfam family "Bacterial small subunit ribosomal RNA", at positions 355 to 796 of the family's 1533-position model. The record is from RNAcentral.
UGAGGAAUAUUGGGCAAUGGGCGCAAGCCUGACCCAGCCACGCCGCGUGUGUGAUGAAGGCCUUCGGGUCGUAAAGCACUGUGGAGAGGGACGAAAACAUGCAGGAGGAAAUGCCUGCGUCUUGACGGUACCUCUUUAGCAAGCACCGGCUAACUCUGUGCCAGCAGCCGCGGUAAUACAGAGGGUGCAAACGUUGCUCGGAUUUACUGGGCGUAAAGCGCGUGUAGGCGGAUACGCAAGUCGGUUGUGAAAUCCCUGGGCUCAACCUAGGAACUGCAUCCGAAACUGUGUGUCUUGAGUAAUGGAGAGGGUGGCGGAAUUCCCGGUGUAGAGGUGAAAUUCGUAGAUAUCGGGAGGAACAUCUGUGGCGAAGGCGGCCACCUGGACAUUCACUGACGCUGAGACGCGAAAGCGUGGGGAGCAAACAGGAUUAGAUACCCCCGUAGUCC